GCAAGUCGAACGGUAACAGAAAAAGCUUGCUUUUUGCUGACGAGUGGCGAACGGGUGCGUAACGCGUAUGCAACCUACCUUCUUCUGAGGAAUAGCCCAGAGAAAUUUGGAUUAAAACCUCAUGAUAAUAUUUAUUCGCAUGUUUAAAUAUUUAAAAUUUCGAUGGAAGAAGAUGGGCAUGCGUAACAUUAGUUUGUUGGUGAGGUAAUGGCUCACCAAGACUACGAUGUUUAGGGGGUCUGAGAGGAUGAUC
This 253-nucleotide ribosomal RNA is filed under the name uncultured bacterium. RNAcentral describes it as "partial 16S ribosomal RNA". It matches the Rfam family "Bacterial small subunit ribosomal RNA", at positions 57 to 305 of the family's 1533-position model. The record is from RNAcentral.